Molecule: ribosomal RNA, 499 nt
Filed under: uncultured bacterium
Lineage: Bacteria
Description: partial 16S ribosomal RNA
Rfam family: Bacterial small subunit ribosomal RNA
Source: RNAcentral
ACUCAAAUGAAUAGACGGGGGCCCGCACAAGCGGUGGAGCAUGUGGAUUAAUACGUCACUAACCGUAGAACCUUACCCAGGCUUGACAUCUGGCGAACCCUCUUGAAAGGGAGGGGUGCCCGCAAGGGAGCGCCAAGACAGGUGUUGCAUGGCUGUCGUCAGCUCGUGUCGUGAGAUGUUGGGUUAAGUCCCGCAACGAGCGCAACCCUCACCGCCUGUUGCCAGCCUUAAGUGGGGCACUCUGGCGGAACUGCCCGGGUAACCGGGAGGAAGGUGGGGAUGACGUCAAGUCAGCAUGGCCCUUACGCCUGGGGCUUCACACAUGCUACAAUGGCUGGUACAGAGGGUUCCAAGACCGCGAGGUGGAGGCAAUCCCAAAAAGCCAGUCUCAGUUCGGAUCGCAGGCUGCAACUCGCCUGCGUGAAGCUGGAAUCGCUAGUAACCGCCGGUCAGCUAAACGGCGGUGAAUACGUUCCCGGGCCUUGUACACACCGCCCGU